RNAcentral lists this ribosomal RNA (495 nucleotides) under uncultured bacterium. RNAcentral's name for it is "partial 16S ribosomal RNA". It matches the Rfam family "Bacterial small subunit ribosomal RNA", at positions 28 to 507 of the family's 1533-position model. The record is from RNAcentral.
GACGAACGCUGGCGGCGUGCCUAAUACAUGCAAGUAGAACGCUGAAGGAGGAGCUUGCUCUUCUGGAUGAGUUGCGAACGGGUGAGUAACGCGUAGGUAACCUGCCUGGUAGCGGGGGAUAACUAUUGGAAACGAUAGCUAAUACCGCAUAACAGUAGAUGUUGCAUGACAUUUGCUUAAAAGGUGCAAUUGCACCACUACCAGAUGGACCUGCGUUGUAUUAGCUAGUUGGUGGGGUAACGGCUCACCAAGGCGACGGUACAUAUCCGACCUGAGAGGGUGAACGGCCACACUGGGAAUGAGACACGGCCCAGACUCCUACGGGAGGCAGCAGUAGGGAAUCUUCGGCAAUGGACGGAAGGCUGACCGAGCAACGCCGCGGGAGUGAAGAAGGUUUUCGGAUCGUAAAGCUCCGUUGUAAGAGAAGAACGAGUGUGAGAGUGGAAAGUUCACACUGUGACGGUAUCUUACCAGAAAGAGACGGCUAACUACGUG